RNAcentral lists this ribosomal RNA (326 nucleotides) under uncultured bacterium. RNAcentral describes it as "bacterial SSU rRNA". It matches the Rfam family "Bacterial small subunit ribosomal RNA", at positions 28 to 334 of the family's 1533-position model. The record is from RNAcentral.
GAUGAACGCUGGCGGCGUGCUUAACACAUGCAAGUCGAACGAAGCACUGAAAGCAGAUUACUUCGGUUUGAAGCUUUCUUUGACUGAGUGGCGGACGGGUGAGUAACGCGUGGGUAACCUGCCUCAUACAGGGGGAUAACAGUUAGAAAUGACUGCUAAUACCGCAUAAGCGCACGGGACUGCAUGGUCUUGUGUGAAAAACUCCAGUGGUAUGAGAUGGACCCGCGUCUGAUUAGCUGGUUGGUGAGGUAACGGCCCACCAAGGCGACGAUCAGUAGCCGGCCUGAGAGGGUGAACGGCCACAUUGGGACUGAGACACGGCCCAA